RNAcentral lists this ribosomal RNA (544 nucleotides) under Hymenoscyphus sp. UBCTRA1302.11. RNAcentral's name for it is "eukaryotic LSU rRNA". It matches the Rfam family "Eukaryotic large subunit ribosomal RNA", at positions 1 to 548 of the family's 3401-position model. The record is from RNAcentral. Lineage: Eukaryota; Fungi; Ascomycota; Leotiomycetes; Helotiales; Helotiaceae.
UGACCUCGGAUCAGGUAGGGAUACCCGCUGAACUUAAGCAUAUCAAUAAGCGGAGGAAAAGAAACCAACAGGGAUUGCCUCAGUAACGGCGAGUGAAGCGGCAACAGCUCAAAUUUGAAAUCUGGCUCUUUCAGGGUCCGAGUUGUAAUUUGUAGAAGAUGCUUUGAGUGUAGCUCCGGUCUAAGUUCCUUGGAACAGGACGUCAUAGAGGGUGAGAAUCCCGUAUGUGACUGGGUGCUUUCGCUCGUGUAAAGCUCUUUCGACGAGUCGAGUUGUUUGGGAAUGCAGCUCAAAAUGGGUGGUAAAUUUCAUCUAAAGCUAAAUAUUGGCCAGAGACCGAUAGCGCACAAGUAGAGUGAUCGAAAGAUGAAAAGCACUUUGGAAAGAGAGUUAAACAGUACGUGAAAUUGUUGAAAGGGAAGCGCUUGCAACCAGACUUGCGCGCUGUUGAUCAUCCGAGCUUCUGCCCGGUGCACUCGACAGCGUUCAGGCCAGCAUCGGUUUUGGUGAGCGGAGAAAGGCCUUGGGAAUGUAGCUUCUUUCG